GAAGGGGUGGCCGAGUGGUAGAGCGUCAGUCUAGUAAGCUGAGGGUAACGAGUUCGACCCCCCGAACCUCUUUU
Molecule: non-coding RNA, 74 nt
Organism: Caenorhabditis brenneri
Lineage: Eukaryota; Metazoa; Nematoda; Chromadorea; Rhabditida; Rhabditidae
Source: the annotation of a GenBank genome assembly